This is a non-coding RNA of Armillaria borealis, 122 nucleotides long. The record is from the annotation of a GenBank genome assembly. NCBI's taxonomy places the organism in Eukaryota, Fungi, Basidiomycota, Agaricomycetes, Agaricales, Physalacriaceae.
GCUGGGAUGGCCGAGUCGUUAAGGCGAGUGAUUUGAACACUGCUUAUAUAAUCAGUAUGUUACGUAAGCACCGAAUUAUCACUUGGUGUUUCACCGCGUAGGUUCAAAUCCUGCUCUCAGCG